This 68-nucleotide transfer RNA is filed under the name Marmota monax (woodchuck). RNAcentral's name for it is "tRNA.Ser". Lineage: Eukaryota; Metazoa; Chordata; Mammalia; Rodentia; Sciuridae. The record is from RNAcentral.
GGAUUGUGGCUCAGUGGCAGAGCCCUUGCCUGGAAAGUAUGAGGCACUGGGUUCAAUCAUCAGCACCA